UCAAGCUAUAAAGAGCGCAGGGUGGAUGCCUUGGCACUAAGAGCCGAUGAAAGACGUGAUAAGCUGCGAUAAGCUUCGGGGAGGAGCAAAUAUCCUUUGAUCCGGAGAUCUCUGAAUGGGGAAACCCGGCUGAGCAAACCUCAGUCGUCGUAUGGUGAAUUCAUAGCCAUACGUCGGGAACCGCCUGAACUGAAACAUCUAAGUAGGGCGAGGAAAAGAAAGAAAACUCGAUUUCCAAAGUAGCGGCGAGCGAAAUGGAAGGAGCCUAAACCGGAGCGCGUGCGUUCCGGGGUUAUGGACCGCGUCAAGUGAGUCGUAUGGUAAUGGAACGGUCUGGAAAGUCCGGCCAGAGAGGGUGAAAGCCCCGUACAUGAAACCAGAAGACAGCGAGCGGGAUCCGAAGUACUGCGAGACACGUGGAACCUUGCAGGAAGUCGGGGGGACCACCCCCCAAGGCUAAAUACUCCUUAGUGACCGAUAGCGCAUAGUACUGUGAAGGAAAGGUGAAAAGGACCCCGGGAGGGGAGUGAAAGAGAACCUGAAACCCUGUGUUUACAAGCUGUGGAAGUUCUUUAUAUGAACAACCGCGUACUUUUUGUAGAACGGUCCGGCGAGUUGCGGAUACUGGCAAGGUUAAGCACUUAAGGUGCGGAGCCGAAGGGAUACCAAGUCUUAACAGGGCGUUAAGUCAGUAUACGCAGACCCGAAACCGGGUGAUCUAUCCAUGUCCAGGUUGAAGUUGUCGUAAAAGACAAUGGAGGACCGAAGCCACAUCCGUUGAAAAGGGUGGGCAUGAGGUGUGGAUAGGGGAGAAAUUCCAAUCGAACCCGGAGAUAGCUGGUUCUCCUCGAAAUAGCUUUAGGGCUAGCCUCGUGAGAGUCUGCUGGAGGUAGAGCACUGAAUUCCCUAGGGGGCGUCAAAGCCUACCAAAGGAUAUCAAACUCCGAAUGCCAGCCAGAUGCUUCACGGGAGUCAGACGGCACGAGAUAAGUUGGGUCGUCAAAAGGGAAAGAGCCCAGACCUGCAGCUAAGGUCCCAAAGUGUGUGUUAAGUGGAAAAGGAUGUGGGAUUUCAGAGACAACUAGGAUGUUGGCUUAGAAGCAGCCACACAUUCAAAGAGUGCGUAAUAGCUCACUAGUCGAGAGGUCCUGCGCCGAAAAUGUCCGGGGCUGAAACACAACACCGAAGCUCAGGAAUGUAGUAAUACAUUGGUAGAGGAGCAUUCUUAGGACGCCGAAGCGGUACCGGAAGGAGCCGUGGAGUGCUAAGAAGAGAGAAUGCCGGAAUGAGUAGCGAGAUGGAGGUGGGAAUCCUCCAGGCCGAAUAUCUAAGGUUUCCAGAGUAAAGCUGAUCUGCUCUGGGUAAGUCGGGGCCUAAGGUGAGGUCGAAAGACGUAGCCGAUGGACAACAGGUUGAAAUUCCUGUACUGCAGUAUAACAGAACUGUGGGGACGCAGAGGGAGAGCACUAGCGGGAAUGGAAUCCCGUGGCAAGCGAGGUAGGAGUAGAGUUGGCAAAUCCGCUCUAUAAUCCGAAGACGUGAAGCAUACCGAACAAAAGUAGGGAAAUGUGUGAGCCAGCUGCCAAGAAAAGCCGCUAUUGUUUGUACUGUACCCGUACCGUAAACCGACACAGGUAGGUGAGGAGAGAAUCCUAAGGCCGACGGGAGAAGCAUUGUUAAGGAACUCGGCAAAAUGACUCCGUAACUUCGGGAGAAGGAGUGCCAGCGAGAGCUGGCCGCAGAGAAUUGGCCCAAGCAACUGUUUAGCAAAAACACAGGUCUAUGCAAAACCGUAAGGUGAAGUAUAUGGGCUGACGCCUGCCCGGUGCUGGAAGGUUAAGAGGAGAGGUUAGCGGUAACGCGAAGCUUUGAAUUUAAGCCCCAGUAAACGGCGGCCGUAACUAUAACGGUCCUAAGGUAGCGAAAUUCCUUGUCGG
RNAcentral lists this ribosomal RNA (1937 nucleotides) under human gut metagenome. RNAcentral describes it as "bacterial LSU rRNA". It matches the Rfam family "Bacterial large subunit ribosomal RNA", at positions 3 to 1975 of the family's 2925-position model. The record is from RNAcentral.